GGGUCAGUAGGUUGGUCGUGCCACCGGUACGUACUGGUCUCACUGAUUCCUCCUCCCUGAAGAACCGUAAUGCCAUUAAUUUGGUGUUGCGGGGAAACAGGACUGUUACUUUGAAAAAAUUAGAGUGUUUAAAGCAAGCUAACGCUUGAAUACAUUAGCAUGGAAUAAUGAAAUAGGACGAUCGAUCCUAUUUUGUUGGUUUCCAGGAUUGACGUA
RNAcentral lists this ribosomal RNA (216 nucleotides) under Glomeromycotina sp. RNAcentral's name for it is "partial small subunit ribosomal RNA". The stretch from base 75 to 216 matches the Rfam family "Eukaryotic small subunit ribosomal RNA", at positions 721 to 864 of the family's 1831-position model. The record is from RNAcentral. Lineage: Eukaryota; Fungi; Glomeromycota.